GAUGAUGUUGUCGUUGAUGUAGUUGAUGAUGUUGUCGUUGAUGUAGUUGUUGAUGUUCUUGUGGAUCGUGUUGAUGAUGUUGUCGUUGAUGUUGUUGUUGAUCGUGUUGUUGUCGUUGUUGUUGAUGGAGAUAUUGAGUCGUUGUUGUCGUCGUUGGUUGAUUUAGUAAGAGUUGUUAAAAUUGAAGAAGCAUGAAUAUUAUUAUUGGAUAUAUGUUGUUAAUUAUGUUAUUUAAUUAAGUUGAUGACUUAUAUAUCUAUUAUUAUUGUUUGUGAAUCUCACCCCUUCUGCUUGAAAAUGUUGCCCUUCCUAUGGGUAACUUGCAGGUGAUCCUGAGUAGUUGGUGGUGGCUCAAAGUGUCUAGGGC
Molecule: long non-coding RNA, 367 nt
Filed under: Medicago truncatula (barrel medic)
Lineage: Eukaryota; Viridiplantae; Streptophyta; Magnoliopsida; Fabales; Fabaceae
Description: long non-coding RNA (MTRU_LNC003259)
Source: RNAcentral